GCAAGUCGAGCGCACCUUCGGGUGAGCGGCGGACGGGUUAGUAACGCGUGGGAAUAUGCCCUUCUCUAAGGAAUAGCCUCUGGAAACGGAGAGUAAUACCUUAUACGCCCUUUGGGGGAAAGAUUUAUCGGAGAAGGAUUAGCCCGCGUUAGAUUAGGUAGUUGGUGGAGUAAUGGCCUACCAAGCCUACGAUCUUUAGCUGGUUUUAGAGGAUGAUC
This 218-nucleotide ribosomal RNA is filed under the name uncultured bacterium. Its description in RNAcentral is "partial 16S ribosomal RNA". It matches the Rfam family "Bacterial small subunit ribosomal RNA", at positions 57 to 305 of the family's 1533-position model. The record is from RNAcentral.